GCUGGUAUGGUGGAAUAGGCAGACACAACAGACUUAAAAUCUGUCGAACGUUAGUUCGUGCCGGUUCAAGUCCGGCUACCAGCA
Molecule: transfer RNA, 84 nt
Filed under: Candidatus Eisenbergiella merdavium
Lineage: Bacteria; Bacillati; Bacillota; Clostridia; Lachnospirales; Lachnospiraceae
Description: tRNA-Leu
Rfam family: tRNA
About the family: Transfer RNA (tRNA) molecules are approximately 80 nucleotides in length. Their secondary structure includes four short double-helical elements and three loops (D, anti-codon, and T loops). Further hydrogen bonds mediate the characteristic L-shaped molecular structure. tRNAs have two regions of fundamental functional importance: the anti-codon, which is responsible for specific mRNA codon recognition, and the 3' end, to which the tRNAs corresponding amino acid is attached (by aminoacyl-tRNA synthetases). tRNAs cope with the degeneracy of the genetic code in two manners: having more than one tRNA (with a specific anti-codon) for a particular amino acid; and 'wobble' base-pairing, i.e. permitting non-standard base-pairing at the 3rd anti-codon position.
Source: RNAcentral